AUCCCGUGGUGAGGACAUGCUAGGAUGUACUCCUGAAGCCUCUCCCUUGCUUCAGAUAUUGAUUCACCUGACGCCUGCCAGAAACUGGAGAUUCUUCCUCGAAGAGC
Molecule: small nucleolar RNA, 107 nt
Organism: Panicum hallii
Lineage: Eukaryota; Viridiplantae; Streptophyta; Magnoliopsida; Poales; Poaceae
Source: RefSeq, a predicted model, not a curated record